This 253-nucleotide ribosomal RNA is filed under the name uncultured bacterium. RNAcentral's name for it is "partial 16S ribosomal RNA". It matches the Rfam family "Bacterial small subunit ribosomal RNA", at positions 524 to 776 of the family's 1533-position model. The record is from RNAcentral.
UACAGAGGGUGCAAGCGUUGUUCGGAAUUACUGGGCGUAAAGCGCGUGUAGGUGGCGAUGUAAGUCGGGUGUGAAAUCCCUUGGCUCAACCAAGGAAGUGCACUCGAUACUGUGUCGCUUGAGUACUGGAGGGGGUGGCGGAAUUCCCGGUGUAGAGGUGAAAUUCGUAGAUAUCUGAAGGAACAUCAGUGGCGAAAGCGACUUCCUGGACCAAUACUGACGCUCAUGUGCGAAAGCGUGGGGAGCAAACAGG